CCUCCCUCUCACCCCCGGGCCGCGCCGGAGGAUGCCGGGCCGGCACAGAUAAGGCCCUGGCCGACUGGCCGCGCCUGAUAAGGAGCCGGGCUGACCCCGGAGGAAACCGGCUGGCGGGGAGCUCCGAGCCGGGGCCUCACGGCCCCGCCCCCGGCCGGCGACGGACAGGGCCGUCACCCCUCAGGGCCUCACCUUACGUCCUCCCAGGCACUGGAGUGGCCCAGGGUCUCUGAGGACCCCGACCCAGCGCGCCGCUGGGAGUGAGACCGCCUGCCGGGCUUCGCGCCACCCCCACCCCAGACUGGGGCACUGGAGGGAAGGCAGUUCUGACAGUCUGCCCUCGCGUGUCCUGCCUGGCCCAAGUGUCCUGGGCCCCCAGGCCUGCUCUCCACACCACCUUUUCAGGCCCAGGAGGGCCCCCCUCACCCGCGUCCAUCACACUUUGCCUCCAGUGUAUCUGGGGGCACCCUCCCAGGAG
Molecule: long non-coding RNA, 478 nt
Organism: Leopardus geoffroyi (Geoffroy's cat)
Lineage: Eukaryota; Metazoa; Chordata; Mammalia; Carnivora; Felidae
Exons: 3
Source: RefSeq, a predicted model, not a curated record